Molecule: long non-coding RNA, 1769 nt
Organism: Episyrphus balteatus (marmalade hoverfly)
Lineage: Eukaryota; Metazoa; Arthropoda; Insecta; Diptera; Syrphidae
Exons: 5
Source: RefSeq, a predicted model, not a curated record
CAUUUAAUUUUAAGAUUCAAUAAAAUAACUGCAAGAUAUAUUAUUGAUCUUGUGAGAGAAGACGUCACCUCCUCUACCAACAGAGGUGGUGCAAUUCCACCUGAUCUAAUUGUAUUGACAGGGCUUCGAUAUCUUGCCGCAGGUUCAUAUCAGAAGGAUGUUGGUGAUUGUCACAACAUUUCCCAACAAUCGGUAAGUAAUUGUGUAAGGAAAUUUGUGCGAGCUUUGGCAUCAAAAGCAAGGGAUUUCAUUAAGUUCCCCAGUGAGGCCACGGAAAUCCGGUCGGUGAAAAGAAAGUUUUUUGAUGUUGCUGGUUCUCCACAAUGUGUGGGUGCUAUCGAUUGCACCCACAUCAAAAUAAAGAAUCCUGGGCAAGAAUUUGGAGGACGACACAGAUGUCGAAAAAACUUUUACUCCAUCAAUGUUCAGAAACCAUCUACAACUAAAAUUUAGCUGACUAGUUGACGAUUCGGAAACUUUACAAGCAUAGUUUAUGGUUCAGAAUACGGUGUGUAGUGCUCAAAACAAUGCCAGUCCUUGGAAACAGAACCGGUAUUCCCUUCUUCGAUUAUGACAGCAGCUUAAAUGGUAAAUUCUUAUUAUGAAACCUGCCUCACGGAAGCCUGGUACGCCACUUAUAGUUUGCACAUGGCUAGAGCUGCUGCGUUAGCCGAUCUGGAGUGACACUAUUGCCAAAUAAUCGUGCGUUACCUUCUAAAUGGCAUUAAUGAGCACAACUUUUUCUCUACCGCCAUACUAACACAAUACACAGGCGUCAUCCUGAAUCUAGAAAAAGACUGAACCAACAUAUAAAAGUAUUUUGUAUCAGAUUUUGGCCGGUUUAUUUUCCAAAAAUACAGAAAAUAAAGUGCAAGGAAAGACCACCAUGACCAAGGUAUCAGUCACACGUCUCAGUGCCUCACUUUGCCCAAACUAAUAGUUCAGCGUCAUACACAACUUCACAACAUUCUACAAAGUCCCACCAAUCUAACCAUCACCAAUCACAAAUAGUGCAACACGGUGGCACGCUACCAGCCCGACAUCGACAGCCCAAUGGGGACUAACAGCAAGGAUAUCACAUCUCGGCUACACAGGUUCAACAAUGUGCGAACAAACCCGAAAUCUGGGAACAAUUUUACAACCAAAUCAAUUAGUGGUUAUGGUUUUGGCUAUGCUACAAAAAAGCACAACAUAGACAUACGAUUCUGCCCCGUACACUGAUGCUGUGAACUAUGCUCUUCCACCGUCGUAAUGUGUUGAAAAAUUCACCACAAUUACAACGACUAUAACAACGACCAAAUCAUAAGAGGAGUCCAUAGCUCAUAGUACCAUGCGGUGAUUCGGAUGUCACAGUCUGAGACAAUAGAAAAACUCAACAAAAAAUCGUGCCAACAUGACUUGCAUCGCGAGUAGGUACUAUCCAAAUGACCUUCUUUGAACAUUUUCUACAGGUUGUCAUGGAUUUGUUGUCCUUCGCACAUUACUUUUUGUUCAAUACAUCAUCGGGCGACGUGGUGGUGAGCUGCCAUCUGUCAAAAAUAAUUUUACUCUAUUGUAUUUUUAUUUUGCAAUAGGUCAGGGUAUAGCAAAAGUGCAAGACUAUUGUAAAAUUUUAAUCCGUAUAUUUUGUUGUUGUAGUGUUGUAAGAUUUUACACUUUUGCACUUUUGCAAUGAUACAAGACCAGUUGCAUCGGAUCGUGAAUACCCCUUUUAUUUUUACGCCAUAACUACAAUGAUCUUAAAGCCUGGUACGCUGCUCGCGCUAAAU